CAGACUUGUAAGAAGGACCACCAGCUCUAAAAAGAGCCGAUGAAUUUAGAGGAAGGUUCAUCUGGAGGUCAUCGAUCUUCUAGGAGAGGAAAGAAGAAGAAGGUGCAGAAAUCUCAUGUCGCUGAUCCUAAGCAGAGCAAAAUGUCAAAGGUUGACAAGAGCCAGGCAGAGUGCUUCUUUUAUAAAAAGCUGAGUCAUUAGAAAAGAAAUUGUUCUACUUACAUAGCU
Molecule: long non-coding RNA, 228 nt
Filed under: Elaeis guineensis (African oil palm)
Lineage: Eukaryota; Viridiplantae; Streptophyta; Magnoliopsida; Arecales; Arecaceae
Description: long non-coding RNA (EGUI_LNC064113)
Source: RNAcentral